This 119-nucleotide ribosomal RNA is filed under the name Musa acuminata subsp. malaccensis (wild Malaysian banana). Lineage: Eukaryota; Viridiplantae; Streptophyta; Magnoliopsida; Zingiberales; Musaceae. The record is from RNAcentral.
GGGUACGAUAAUGCCAGCACUAAAGCACCGGAUCCCCUCAGAACUCCGAUGUUAAGCGUGAUUUAGAGAGAGUUGUACUAGGAUGGGUGACCCCUUGGGAAGUCCUCGUGUUUCACUCC